CAGGCCUAACACAUGCAAGUCGAACGGUGAAAGAGGAGCUUGCUCCUCUGGAUCAGUGGCGAACGGGUGAGUAACACGUGAGUAACCUGCCCUUGACUCUGGGAUAACCUCGGGAAACCGAAGCUAAUACCGGAUACGACCCUCGGAGGCAUCUCCAGAGGGUGGAAAGAAUUUCGGUCAAGGAUGGACUCGCGGCCUAUCAGGUAGUUGGUGAGGUAACGGCUCACCAAGCCGACGACGGGUAGCCGGCCUGAGAGGGUGACCGGCCACACUGGGACUGAGACACGGCCCAGACUCCUACGGGAGGCAGCAGUGGGGAAUAUUGCACAAUGGGCGCAAGCCUGAUGCAGCAACGCCGCGUGAGGGACGACGGCCUUCGGGUUGUAAACCUCUUUUAGUAGGGAAGAAGCGAAAGUGACGGUACCUGCAGAAAAAGCACCGGCUAACUACGUGCCAGCAGCCGCGGUAAUAC
Molecule: ribosomal RNA, 472 nt
Filed under: uncultured Actinomycetes bacterium
Lineage: Bacteria; Bacillati; Actinomycetota; Actinomycetes
Description: bacterial SSU rRNA
Rfam family: Bacterial small subunit ribosomal RNA
Source: RNAcentral